CACUCCUACGGGAGGCAGCAGUGGGGAAUUUUGGACAAUGGGCGAAAGCCUGAUCCAGCAAUGCCGCGUGAGUGAAGAAGGCCUUCGGGUUGUAAAGCUCUUUUGUCAGGGAAGAAACGGUGAAAGCUAAUAUCUUUUGCUAAUGACGGUACCUGAAGAAUAAGCACCGGCUAACUACGUACCAGCAGCCGCGGUAAUACGUAGGGUGCAAGCGUUAAUCGGAAUUACUGGGCGUAAAGCGUGCGCAGGCGGUUUUGUAAGUCUGAUGUGAAAUCCCCGGGCUCAACCUGGGAAUUGCAUUGGAGACUGCAAGGCUAGAAUCUGGCAGAGGGGGGUAGAAUUCCACGUGUAGCAGUGAAAUGCGUAGAUAUGUGGAGGAACACCGAUGGCGAAGGCAGCCCCCUGGGUCAAGAUUGACGCUCAUGCACGAAAGCGUGGGGAGCAAACAGGAUUAGAAACCCGUGUAGUCCCAUGA
This 475-nucleotide ribosomal RNA is filed under the name uncultured organism. Its description in RNAcentral is "partial 16S ribosomal RNA". It matches the Rfam family "Bacterial small subunit ribosomal RNA", at positions 334 to 800 of the family's 1533-position model. The record is from RNAcentral.